RNAcentral lists this ribosomal RNA (439 nucleotides) under uncultured bacterium. RNAcentral's name for it is "bacterial SSU rRNA". It matches the Rfam family "Bacterial small subunit ribosomal RNA", at positions 28 to 450 of the family's 1533-position model. The record is from RNAcentral.
GAUGAACGCUGGCGGCGUGCUUAACACAUGCAAGUCGAACGGGAAACUUUUCAUUGAAGCUUCGGCAGAUUUGAUCUGUUUCUAGUGGCGGACGGGUGAGUAACGCGUGGGUAACCUGCCUUAUACAGGGGGAUAACAACCAGAAAUGGUUGCUAAUACCGCAUAAGCGCACAGGACCGCAUGGUCCGGUGUGAAAAACUCCGGUGGUAUAAGAUGGACCCGCGUUGGAUUAGCUAGUUGGCAGGGUAACGGCCUACCAAGGCGACGAUCCAUAGCCGGCCUGAGAGGGUGAACGGCCACAUUGGGACUGAGACACGGCCCAGACUCCUACGGGAGGCAGCAGUGGGGAAUAUUGCACAAUGGGGGAAACCCUGAUGCAGCGACGCCGCGUGAAGGAAGAAGUAUCUCGGUAUGUAAACUUCUAUCAGCAGGGAAGAUA